UGAAAGCCUAAAAGAAGGUGUCACCAGGAGU
RNAcentral lists this non-coding RNA (31 nucleotides) under Mus musculus (house mouse). The record is from RNAcentral. Lineage: Eukaryota; Metazoa; Chordata; Mammalia; Rodentia; Muridae.